AGCUUCCGCCCUGCGGGCUCAGAGCCACGCGGCGCGCCCGCGAGCUGCCCCCGGGAUCGGUGGCUGUUACCUCCCGGCGUCCCGGACCGCAGCCUUCCGCACUCAGGGGCUUGGAUCUCCCCUCCCAGACGCAAAAGCCUAGCUUCCCUCUUCCUGGAGCUCUUGUCUCCCGUCCCCCAGGUUCAAGCUUCCCAGCCUCCGUUUCCAGGACCCCGGCGCCCCGGAUCCCUGCCUCCCGGAUCGGCGCUACCGGGACGUGGCCUCUUGAGGACCUCUGCCACUUGGACGCCUUCAGCCUUCCAGAGCCCAAGACCCCCUGUCCCAGCCUGAUACACUCCUGUAUUCCCAUCCCUAGGGCCGAGAAACCCAGGGGUUUCGGGCGCAGGACACAACCUGGGAGAGCAGAGGAGCCUCGGCGCCCAGCUUCGGGAUCUCAGACACUCCAGCUUCCACGAGCCAAGGAACCUCGGCGCCGUGAACUCCCAACUCCAAGGAACCCUCCAGAGUUCCAGCCUCCAGGCUGUGUUACAAAACUCUCCGUUCUAAGGAACGUCGGCGUUCCGGGAAGGAGCCCCCCAAGCGCUCGCAGCUUCCAGACGCCGCAGAACUCCGGGGGGCGUUCCAACAUGGUGGCCGAUCCCCCGCGCGGAGAGCCCAAGGGGUUCGAGGCGGCCGAGCCCACCGGGAACGGUGCCCCGACGUUGCUCCCUAAAGAGGACCCCGACCCGGCAGGAGGCCGCUGCUGCGGUUCCCGGGAGCGGGUGCGCCGCUGCCUUCGCGCCAACCUGCUGGUGCUGCUGACGGUGGCGGCCGUGGUGGCAGGCGUGGCGCUGGGGCUGGGGGUCUCGGGGGCCGGUGGCGCGCUAGCGCUGGGCCCCGCGCGCCUGGCGGCCUUCGCCUUCCCCGGCGAGCUGCUGCUGCGCCUGCUGAAGAUGAUCAUCCUGCCGCUGGUGGUGUGCAGCCUGAUCGGCGGCGCCUCCAGCCUGGACUCGAGCGCGCUCGGCCGCCUGGGCGCCUGGGCGCUGCUCUUUUUCCUGGUCACCACGCUGCUGGCGUCCGCGCUCGGCGUGGGCUUGGCGCUGGCCCUGCGGCCGGGGGCCACCUUCGCCGCCAUCAACGCCUCGGUCGGCGCCACGGGCGCCGUGGAAGAGGAAGAGGCCCCCAGCAAGGAGGUCCUCGAUUCGUUCCUGGAUCUUGUGAGAAAUCUCUUCCCCUCCAACCUGGUGUCCGCAGCCUUCAGCUCAUACAGUACCGUCUAUGAAAGCAGAUGGAUCAACGGAACCAAGGUGAAGGUGCCCGUUGGGGAUGAGGUAGAUAGUAUGAACAUCCUGGGCCUGGUGGUAUUUGCCAUUAUCUUUGGCGUGGCCCUGCAGAAGCUGGGGCCCGAGGGAGAACUGCUUAUCCGCUUCUUCAACUCCUUCAAUGACGCCACCAUGGUGCUGGUCUCCUGGAUCAUGUGGUAUGCCCCCGUGGGCAUCUUGUUCCUGGUGGCUGGCAAGAUCGUGGCAGUGGAGGACGUGGGGCUGCUCUUCACCAGUCUCGGCAAAUACAUCCUGUGCUGCCUGCUGGGCCACGCCAUCCACGGGCUCCUGGUGCUGCCCCUCAUCUACUUCCUCUUCACCCGCAAAAACCCCUACCGCUUCCUGUGGGGUAUCGUGACACCGUUGGCCACUGCCUUCGGGACCUCUUCUAGCUCGGCCACGCUGCCGCUGAUGAUGAAGUGCGUGGAGGAGAGGAAUGGUGUCGCCAAGCACAUCAGCCGCUUCAUCCUACCCAUCGGUGCCACCGUCAACAUGGAUGGGGCGGCGCUCUUCCAGUGUGUGGCCGCAGUGUUCAUCGCACAGCUCAACCAGCAACCCCUGGACUUUGUGAAGAUCAUCACCAUCCUGGUCACCGCCACCGCGUCCAGCGUGGGGGCCGCGGGCAUUCCGGCUGGAGGUGUCCUCACUCUGGCCAUCAUCCUGGAGGCAGUCAACCUGCCAGUUCACGACAUCUCCUUGAUCCUGGCUGUGGACUGGCUAGUGGACCGGUCCUGCACAGUCCUCAAUGUGGAAGGUGAUGCCUUUGGGGCGGGACUCCUCCAAAAUUACAUGGAUCGUACAGAGAUGCGGAGUUCAGUGCCAGAGUUGAUCCAAGUGAAGAGUGAGAUGCCCCUGGCUCCACUGCCCGCCCCCACUGAGGAGGGGAACCCCCUCCUCAAACACCGCCUGGGAUCUGCUGGGGAUACAGACUCCUGUGAGAAGGAGUCGGUUAUGUAAACCCCAUGGGGACUUUUCCCUGUGCUGAUGGGGGCACUCUGGACAUUGGGAUUGUGAACCGGGGUUCUGGAGGCCCUUCCUGCUGCACACUUAAGGGAUCCAGGGUCCCAGCCUCUCUCCCUGACAUCAGAUCUGGGAGGCCUCGAUGCUGGGGUAUAGGCGUGUGUCUGUGUGUGUGUGUGUGUGUGUGUGUGUGUGUGUGUGUGUGUUGCGGCUCCAUGGUACAUCCCACCCUGUCCUCAGGCCCUCUGUUCCCUCCGCUGUAACAAACACUCCUGGGGACCCUGCCAGGGUGGGGGAGACUGAGGACAAAUACUGCUGUCACUCCAAAGGACAUUCUGUAGCAAUAAAACUAUCAAGUGUA
Molecule: RNA transcript, 2622 nt
Organism: Neofelis nebulosa (Clouded leopard)
Lineage: Eukaryota; Metazoa; Chordata; Mammalia; Carnivora; Felidae
Gene: SLC1A5
Gene name: solute carrier family 1 member 5
Exons: 9
Source: RefSeq, a predicted model, not a curated record